This 370-nucleotide ribosomal RNA is filed under the name uncultured organism. RNAcentral's name for it is "bacterial SSU rRNA". It matches the Rfam family "Bacterial small subunit ribosomal RNA", at positions 526 to 896 of the family's 1533-position model. The record is from RNAcentral.
CGGAGGAUGCAAGCGUUAUCCGGAUUCAUUGGGUUUAAAGGGUGCGUAGGCGGGAGAGUAAGUCAGUGGUGAAAUCCCCUCGCUUAACGAGGGAACUGCCAUUGAUACUGCUUUUCUUGAGUUCAGUUGAUGUGGGCGGAAUGUGCUAUGUAGCGGUGAAAUGCUUAGAUAUGGCACAGAACACCUAUUGCGAAGGCAGCUCACAAAACUGAAACUGACGCUGAGGCACGAAAGCGUGGGGAUCAAACAGGGAUUAGAUACCCUGGUAGUCCACGCCGUAAACUAUGAUCACUCGCUGUUGGCGAUACACAGCCAGCGGCUUAGCAAAAGUGUUAAGUGAUCCACCUGGGGGAGUACGGUCGCAAGAUUG